CUCAUGGGAAAGGCUGUGCCCAGAGCCAAGGAGGAGCUGUGGGGACGUCUCUCCCAAGUCAUCCGUUCUCCCCAUUUAGACUUCAUCCUUAGGACGGACCUUCAGGCACCCAGGCUGCCUACUGACCUCCCUGGCAUGGGUGGGAACCGGGAGCUCGUUGGUAAGCAGGAGGAUUCAGGACUAUCGACUGAACCCCACCUCCUCUGUGGCACGCACCGUGCUGUGUCUUUGCAGUCAUCAUCUCAUCACCUCUGCACAGGAAGAUUAUCUCCCCCAUUUUGUGAUGAGGAAAUGGAGGCUCCAGGUGGAAAGAUGCAACCUGGGCCAGAGGCCCCUGGAGGUUGUGCCUGAACCCAGACAGAUCACACAAACCUGAGCAGCCAUUAGCCGCUGUGUGGGCUCCUUUGCACUGUGGGGCUGCUCCUGGGGAUAUUUACGUUGUGAACUGGUAAAAUCUGAACUGCAGAAUAUCAAUUUCCAGACAUUCUUCCUAGAUGAUGCCGUCUGCCACGG
Long non-coding RNA from Homo sapiens (human), 513 nucleotides. Ensembl annotates it as long intergenic non-protein coding RNA 539. The record is from Ensembl. Lineage: Eukaryota; Metazoa; Chordata; Mammalia; Primates; Hominidae.